This 74-nucleotide transfer RNA is filed under the name Salmo salar (Atlantic salmon). It matches the Rfam family "tRNA". From Rfam's summary of the family: Transfer RNA (tRNA) molecules are approximately 80 nucleotides in length. Their secondary structure includes four short double-helical elements and three loops (D, anti-codon, and T loops). Lineage: Eukaryota; Metazoa; Chordata; Actinopteri; Salmoniformes; Salmonidae. The record is from Rfam by way of RNAcentral.
GGUGCUGUGGCGUAUUUGGAUAAAGUCCCUGUCUUGCAAACAGGAAAUCCUGAGUUCAAAUCCCAGCUGUGCCU